RNAcentral lists this ribosomal RNA (717 nucleotides) under Staphylococcus aureus. RNAcentral's name for it is "bacterial SSU rRNA". It matches the Rfam family "Bacterial small subunit ribosomal RNA", at positions 1 to 700 of the family's 1533-position model. The record is from RNAcentral. Lineage: Bacteria; Bacillati; Bacillota; Bacilli; Caryophanales; Staphylococcaceae.
UUUAUGGAGAGUUUGAUCCUGGCUCAGGAUGAACGCUGGCGGCGUGCCUAAUACAUGCAAGUCGAGCGAACGGACGAGAAGCUUGCUUCUCUGAUGUUAGCGGCGGACGGGUGAGUAACACGUGGAUAACCUACCUAUAAGACUGGGAUAACUUCGGGAAACCGUAGCUAAUACCGGAUAAUAUUUUGAACCGCAUGGUUCAAAAGUGAAAGACGGUCUUGCUGUCACUUAUAGAUGGAUCCGCGCUGCAUUAGCUAGUUGGUAAGGUAACGGCUUACCAAGGCAACGAUGCAUAGCCGACCUGAGAGGGUGAUCGGCCACACUGGAACUGAGACACGGUCCAGACUCCUACGGGAGGCAGCAGUAGGGAAUCUUCCGCAAUGGGCGAAAGCCUGACGGAGCAACGCCGCGUGAGUGAUGAAGGUCUUCGGAUCGUAAAACUCUGUUAUUAGGGAAGAACAUAUGUGUAAGUAACUGUGCACAUCUUGACGGUACCUAAUCAGAAAGCCACGGCUAACUACGUGCCAGCAGCCGCGGUAAUACGUAGGUGGCAAGCGUUAUCCGGAAUUAUUGGGCGUAAAGCGCGCGUAGGCGGUUUUUUAAGUCUGAUGUGAAAGCCCACGGCUCAACCGUGGAGGGUCAUUGGAAACUGGAAAACUUGAGUGCAGAAGAGGAAAGUGGAAUUCCAUGUGUAGCGGUGAAAUGCGCAGAGAUAUG